Molecule: ribosomal RNA, 1396 nt
Filed under: uncultured bacterium
Lineage: Bacteria
Description: 16S ribosomal RNA
Rfam family: Bacterial small subunit ribosomal RNA
Source: RNAcentral
UUAGAGUUUGACCUGGCUCAGGAUGAACGCUGGCGGCGUGCCUAACACAUGCAAGUCGAGCGAGAAACAAGGGACGGAGAUUUCGGUUGAAGUUUCUUGCGGAAAGCGGCGGACGGGUGAGUAACGCGUAGGCAACCUGCCCUUUGCAGAGGGAUAGCCUCGGGAAACCGGGAUUAAAACCUCAUGAUACUGAGAGCCCGCAUGGGCUUUUGGCCAAAGAUUUAUCGGCAGAGGAUGGGCCUGCGUCUGAUUAGUUAGUUGGUGGGGUAACGGCCUACCAAGGCGACGAUCAGUAGCCGACCUGAGAGGGUGAUCGGCCACAUUGGAACUGAGACACGGUCCAAACUCCUACGGGAGGCAGCAGUGGGGAAUCUUGCACAAUGGGCGAAAGCCUGAUGCAGCAACGCCGCGUGAGCGAAGAAGGCCUUUGGGUCGUAAAGCUCUGUCCUAAGGGAAGAAGGAAGUGACGGUACCUUAGGAGGAAGCCCCGGCUAACUACGUGCCAGCAGCCGCGGUAAUACGUAGGGGGCAAGCGUUAUCCGGAAUUAUUGGGCGUAAAGAGUACGUAGGCGGUUCUUUAAGCGCAGGGUUUAAGGCGAUAGCUUAACUAUCGUUCGCCCUGUGAACUGGGGGACUUGAGUAUCGGAGAGGAAAGCGGAAUUCCUAGUGUAGCGGUGAAAUGCGUAGAUAUUAGGAGGAACACCAGUGGCGAAGGCGGAUGACUGGACGACAACUGACGGUGAGGCGCGAAAGCGUGGGGAGCAAACAGGAUUAGAUACCCUGGUAGUCCACGCUGUAAACGAUCAAUACUAGGUGUGCGGGGACUGACCCCCUGCGUGCCGGAGUUAACACAAUAAGUAUUGCACCUGGGGAGUACGAUCGCAAGGUUGAAACUCAAAGGAAUUGACGGGGGCCCGCACAAGCGGUGGAUUAUGUGGUUUAAUUCGAAGCAACGCGAAGAACCUUACCAGGGCUUGACAUCCUACUAACGAAGUAGAGAUACAUCAGGUGCCCUUCGGGGAAAGUAGAGACAGGUGGUGCAUGGUUGUCGUCAGCUCGUGUCGUGAGAUGUUGGGUUAAGUCCCGCAACGAGCGCAACCCUUACCUUCAGUAGCCAGCACGUAAUGGUGGGCACUCUGGAGGGACUGCCGGGGACAACCCGGAGGAAGGUGGGGAUGACGUCAAAUCAUCAUGCCCCUUAUGAUUUGGGCUACACACGUGCUACAAUGGCGUAAACAAAGGGAGGCAAAGGAGUAAUCUGGAGCAAACCCCAAAAAUAACGUCUCAGUUCGGACUGUGGUCUGCAACCCGACCACACGAAGCUGGAAUCGCUAGUAAUCGCGAAUCAGAAUGUCGCGGUGAAUACGUUCCCGGGUCUUGCACACACCGCCCGUCA